UCAUAUUUUUGGAAAACUUAUUCCAAGUGUUUAGAUCAUCGUCUCUAAACACACGUAAUUUAGAUCAUCGUCUCUAGACUACACACCAUCAAGACACAACAAAUGGAUGCAUGAAAAUGCACAUACCAAUCAUAUGGUUUACCUCAAUUACAUCAUCAUUAAAUUGGAUAAUAUAAUCCAAACAUUCUAAAUCACCACAUUUAGAAUACAACAUUAUUAAUAAUUUGCUAUUAAGCAACAACUUCAUCCCACACCUGUAAAUACAUUCACAUCAUAAAUAUAUUCACAUAAAGUACAUAACAUCACAUACUAACAUCAUCAUUUAAUUCCUAACUCAUUUGAUUUCACAAAACUUAUUUAUUUUCAAAAUAAUGCUACUAACAUAAGCACACACUAAUAAGUGUACAUCUUUUCGGAAAAAUAUCCCCGGAAUCGAAAUCUACGUGAAAAACUGAGAAAAAUAGGUUCUGACCAAAAAAGUAGACAAAAAGUCAAUGGUCAGAGUCAACAAGUAGCGUCGGCCAUAGCGUAAGCCAGAAUGCGUCGCAAAACACUAUUCAUGCUGCAGAAUGCAGAAACGUGUUUUUGGCUCGGAUUUGGCUCCAAAAGCACUUAUAAGCCUCGAAAAUCACUUAUUUAAGCCCAGAAAUUCAUGUCAAACAAUUACCACACUUAUAACAUGAUUAAAACAACUUAAAUCAACUUAAAUCAUAAAAAACAACCCAUUAAUUCAUGGAUUCUCAUCAUUUUACAUAAACCCACAAAUUUAUCAAAGACAACAAUCAACAUACAAAGGAAUCAUUUUUGCCAUAGCAAAACAUCAUUCAAGUAUGGGUAAACAUCUACAAUCAUGCAACAAUUCAUAAAACUUGAAUUUAAACAAAUUCCCAUAAACCCUUACAAACCCCCACCUAGAGAUAAAGAGAAUUUGGGCUGGAGAAGAAUCGCUUCUCCCCUCUCCUUAACAUAUCUCUAAUGAUUAUGAUUCUAACCUCUUACCUUAGCAAAAACGGAGAAAUAAUGAUUCAUCUUCAAGUUCCCAAGCUUUUCCUCUCCUCUUUGUUCUUCCUAAGGUACCUUCCAUCAUGUAGGUGAAAUUGCAAGUGGAUUUAGAGCUAAGAAUGAGUGGGAGUGGUUGGUGAAAGAAUGAAUAGGUUGGUGCUAGUUGGCGUGUGAAGAAGGAGGAAAAUUUAGCUUUCUGACUUCAUAUCUCAGGAAGUGAAAAAUGAAUCAUAUGGCUUAUAAUGAGAGUGUGGGUCUCACUUUGGUUCUUUCUUUGUUUUUAAGUAAUAAUAUGUGGUUCACAUUACACAUGGUAUCUUACUUAUGUGAU
Molecule: long non-coding RNA, 1333 nt
Filed under: Trifolium pratense (red clover)
Lineage: Eukaryota; Viridiplantae; Streptophyta; Magnoliopsida; Fabales; Fabaceae
Description: long non-coding RNA (TPRA_LNC003998)
Source: RNAcentral